CAAGCUCUCAAUCCCAGGGUCUCCAUUAGAGAAGUUGCUUUGAGCUAAAACCCACUGAAACCAGCUUCUUCUCUCAGGGGCCCAGUCUGGAUCCGCACAGAGCAAGGUGCUGAGUGGAGCCGGGGGCUUCGUGCUGGGGCUGCUCUUCCUCGGGGCGGGGCUGCUCAUCUACUUCAGGGCUCAGAAAGGACACUCUGGACUUCAGCCCACAGGACUCCUGAGCUGAGGUGGCCAUGGUGACAGGAGCAGGAGAGAACCUUCUGUCCAGCCCCUUCACCGCCUGAAGAGGUUUCCUGCUGGGCUCUUACUCCACAAGGAGAGCCGCCUGGGGCUCUGGCUGAGUCCUGGUUCCUGACCCCCAAGCAGCUCCUCCCUGCUGGUUCCUGCCCGCCCUGGACCUGGAGGCCCCAGUGUUGGCUGCAGAGCCUUAGCUCCAUCCCUCCCUGUCCCUGUGUGUUCAACCCUCGCUGUCUUCUGUGCACCUUAGCUCACCUCUUCCCACAUUUCUUUACAAAAUGUUUCUCAAUUAAAUAUGGAGUGAAA
This is a long non-coding RNA of Myotis brandtii (Brandt's bat), 543 nucleotides long. RefSeq lists it as uncharacterized. The record is from RefSeq and is a predicted model, not a curated record. The transcript is spliced from 3 exons. NCBI's taxonomy places the organism in Eukaryota, Metazoa, Chordata, Mammalia, Chiroptera, Vespertilionidae.